UCAGGACGAACGCUGGCGGCGUGCGUAAUACAUGCAAGUCGUACGCUUUUUCUUUCACCGGAGCUUGCUCCACCGAAAGAAAAGGAGUGGCGAACGGGUGAGUAACACGUGGGUAACCUGCCCAUCAGAAGGGGAUAACACUUGGAAACAGGUGCUAAUACCGUAUAACAAUCGAAACCGCAUGGUUUUGAUUUGAAAGGCGCUUUCGGGUGUCGCUGAUGGAUGGACCCGCGGUGCAUUAGCUAGUUGGUGAGGUAACGGCUCACCAAGGCCACGAUGCAUAGCCGACCUGAGAGGGUGAUCGGCCACAUUGGGACUGAGACACGGCCCAAACUCCUACGGGAGGCAGCAGUAGGGAAUCUUCGGCAAUGGACGAAAGUCUGACCGAGCAACGCCGCGUGAGUGAAGAAGGUUUUCGGAUCGUAAAACUCUGUUGUUAGAGAAGAACAAGGAUGAGAGUAACUGUUCAUCCCUUGACGGUAUCUAACCAGAAAGCCACGGCUAACUACGUGCCAGCAGCCGCGGUAAUACGUAGGUGGCAAGCGUUGUCCGGAUUUAUUGGGCGUAAAGCGAGCGCAGGCGGUUUCUUAAGUCUGAUGUGAAAGCCCCCGGCUCAACCGGGGAGGGUCAUUGGAAACUGGGAGACUUGAGUGCAGAAGAGGAGAGUGGAAUUCCAUGUGUAGCGGUGAAAUGCGUAGAUAUAUGGAGGAACACCAGUGGCGAAGGCGACUCUCUGGUCUGUAACUGACGCUGAGGCUCGAAAGCGUGGGGAGCAAACAGGAUUAGAUACCCUG
This 794-nucleotide ribosomal RNA is filed under the name Enterococcus thailandicus. RNAcentral's name for it is "bacterial SSU rRNA". It matches the Rfam family "Bacterial small subunit ribosomal RNA", at positions 24 to 789 of the family's 1533-position model. Lineage: Bacteria; Bacillati; Bacillota; Bacilli; Lactobacillales; Enterococcaceae. The record is from RNAcentral.